GACAGAGGAUGCAAGUGUUAUCCGGAAUUACUGGGCGUAAAGCGUCUGUAGGUGGUUUAGUAAGUCAAUUGUUAAAGCUUGAGGCUUAACUUCAAAACAGCAAUUGAAACUAUUAGACUUGAGUAUGGUAGAGGUAAAAGGAAUUUUCAGUGGAGCGGUGAAAUGCGUAGAUAUUGGAAAGAACACCGAUGGCGAAAGCAUUUUACUGGGCCAUUACUGACACUCAGAGACGAAAGCUAGGGUAGCAAAUGGG
This 253-nucleotide ribosomal RNA is filed under the name uncultured bacterium. RNAcentral describes it as "partial 16S ribosomal RNA". It matches the Rfam family "Bacterial small subunit ribosomal RNA", at positions 524 to 776 of the family's 1533-position model. The record is from RNAcentral.